Molecule: non-coding RNA, 184 nt
Filed under: Heterosigma akashiwo
Lineage: Eukaryota; Raphidophyceae; Chattonellales; Chattonellaceae
Source: RNAcentral
AAUCUCCGAAACGACAGAAAAGGGAAAAAGGAAAAAGAAAAAAAAGGGGAAAGUGCUAGCAGACAAGGGAUAUGUAGCCAAGUUUUUUGUGUGAGGAGGAUCAUUAUUUUGUGAGGUCUAGUCUUCAUUAGCCCAGGCGCUGUAUGUAUCAUAGAAUGUGUUGGCGCUGUAUGUAUAUAAUAGU